GACGAACGCUGGCGGCGUGCUUAACACAUUCAAGUCGAACGGAAAGGCCCUGCUUUUGUGGGGUGCUCGAGUGGCGAACGGGUGAGUAACACGUGAGUAACCUGCCCUUGACUUUGGGAUAACUUCAGGAAACUGGGGCUAAUACCGGAUAGGAGCUCCUGCUGCAUGGUGGGGGUUGGAAAGUUUCGGCGGUUGGGGAUGGACUCGCGGCUUAUCAGCUUGUUGGUGGGGUAGUGGCUUACCAAGGCUUUGACGGGUAGCCGGCCUGAGAGGGUGACCGGCCACAUGGGGACUGAGAUACGGCCCAGAAUACUACGGGAGGCAGCAGUGGGGAAUAUUGCAAAAUGGGCGGAAGCCUGAUGCAGCAACGCCGCGUGCGGGAUGACGGACUUAGGGUUGUAAACCGCUUUCGACUGUGACGAAGCGUGAGUGACGGUAAUGGGUAAAGAAGCACCGGAUAACUAAGUG
This 468-nucleotide ribosomal RNA is filed under the name uncultured bacterium. RNAcentral's name for it is "partial 16S ribosomal RNA". It matches the Rfam family "Bacterial small subunit ribosomal RNA", at positions 28 to 507 of the family's 1533-position model. The record is from RNAcentral.